RNAcentral lists this non-coding RNA (23 nucleotides) under Arabidopsis thaliana (thale cress). The record is from RNAcentral. Lineage: Eukaryota; Viridiplantae; Streptophyta; Magnoliopsida; Brassicales; Brassicaceae.
GAAUGUGGAUAUUUGUUGUAGUG